This 76-nucleotide transfer RNA is filed under the name Marinicauda algicola. RNAcentral's name for it is "tRNA-Val". It matches the Rfam family "tRNA". From Rfam's summary of the family: Transfer RNA (tRNA) molecules are approximately 80 nucleotides in length. Their secondary structure includes four short double-helical elements and three loops (D, anti-codon, and T loops). The record is from RNAcentral. Lineage: Bacteria; Pseudomonadati; Pseudomonadota; Alphaproteobacteria; Maricaulales; Maricaulaceae.
GGGCGGUUAGCUCAGCUGGUAGAGCAUCUCGUUUACACCGAGCAGGUCGGCGGUUCGAUCCCGUCACCGCCCACCA